AGAUAUUUUUGUCACGGGUGAAGAGAUGCCAGAAGACACAAUAACUUUAAAAAGAGAACUCUGAUGGUUUGAUUAAGUGUCCCUGUGGGUAUCCUGGCCAAGCUGAAAGUGGACACUGCAAACCUUCUGUGUCCAGAGAACCUUCCCUUCCUGGGAUCUCACAGACCAGUGGAAAGGAACAUGAGAUGUGUGUGCCAGGCAGCCUUGCUAGGUCCAGCAUCGGUUUUAUUGGCAUCUCAAGGUUGAUAACCAUUGGGCUAUCUGGUAGCAGGUGAGAGGAGAGUUUCUGGGCCUAGAUGUAUCUCUCAGAGAAGAUGGAGCCUCUGGAGAGGCACAGAAGAUGGAGACACAGUUAGCUGACAUCAAGAAUAUAUUGUAGCAUAAGGUGGGCCCAAGAAGAAAGUCUCAUAGGUAAAAUGGAUAUGGACAACUAACAUCAAGACCCUUAACGAGAAUGUGGGUAUGAGUAUUGUUUGAGUAUUAAAGACUGCUGAAUCAUCUUAAUCAGACCAGGUACUGGCAAUGGAAAGGGAUCCAACCCGCUCUGAGUACUACAGAAGCUCUUAUGGUAUCGUAUUGCUUCUCAUAGCCCAGAACGCACUUCAUUUAUUUAGCCUCAUAGCUCUGUGAAGAUGGCUAUUUCUACAUCUGAUGCGUGAGUUGGGGAGGUAGAUGACUCAUAGUGCUUGCCAGGAGAUUUCCUGCUAGAUUCCAGCCGUGCUUCCAGCCCUGUAAGUCCAGGCUUGUUCCUCGUAACUCAUAAAUGGAAGAACAAAGCCAGUGGAAAGCAGGAUUCUCAGCAACUUGUAAAAACUAGGUGUGAACUUAGUCUGCCAAAGACAGGCUCACUUUUAACAUACAACAUUUGAUGAAUUUUGAAUGGAAUGUCUCAAUGAGAUUACUCAAAAACUUGUUACCACCUGCUCCUUUGUCCUGCCCCUUGACACACGUUGCCACUAAGUAUUUGAUGACUUGAUUAGUGUUCCUCCCGCUAGAACUAAACAAUCCCAACUAAUAAUAAUCCUGUAUCUUUGAUACCAUUUUUUUCUGGCCUGGCACAGAGCGGAGACCCAAUGUUUGCUGAGUAAGAAGAACAAAUAAAGAAGUUAAUGGAUCGCUAAGCUAAAGAAAUUAAA
This is a long non-coding RNA of Mus musculus (house mouse), 1136 nucleotides long. RefSeq annotates it as predicted gene, 33059. NCBI's taxonomy places the organism in Eukaryota, Metazoa, Chordata, Mammalia, Rodentia, Muridae. The record is from RefSeq and is a predicted model, not a curated record. The transcript has 4 exons.